GAGCCUGUUAUUGAGAAAGCUGUUGGGACGGAGAUCAAGUGGCAUGAAGGGAAGGAUUUGACUGAUGAUUGUGAUAGUUUCUUUGACUUUUUCUGUCCUCCGAGAAGUCCUGAGAAUUAUGAGGAUUAUGAUGAAUAUGGUGCUUAUGAGCUUCAAAGUAGGAUGGAAAAAGACUAUGAUUUGGGAUGUACUAUUAGGGAUAUGAUCGUACCACGUGCUGUGUCCUGGUUCACUAGGGAGGCUGCUGUUACCGGCGACGAUAAUGAUGAGAACGAGGAUGGUGAAGAUGAAGAGACGGUAAAGAAGUCGAC
Molecule: long non-coding RNA, 311 nt
Filed under: Linum usitatissimum (flax)
Lineage: Eukaryota; Viridiplantae; Streptophyta; Magnoliopsida; Malpighiales; Linaceae
Description: long non-coding RNA (LUSI_LNC002851)
Source: RNAcentral